GACGUAGGGAGCUAGCGUUGUUCGGAAUUACUGGGCGUAAAGCGCACGUAGGCGGCUUUGUAAGUUAGAGGUGAAAGCCCGGGGCUCAACUCCGGAAUUGCCUUUAAGACUGCAUCGCUUGAAUCCGGGAGAAGGUGAGUGGAAUUCCGAGUGUAGAGGUGAAAUUCGUAGAUAUUCGGAAGAACACCAGUGGCGAAGGCUGGCUCACUGGA
Molecule: ribosomal RNA, 212 nt
Filed under: uncultured bacterium
Lineage: Bacteria
Description: partial 16S ribosomal RNA
Rfam family: Bacterial small subunit ribosomal RNA
Source: RNAcentral